UUAAUAUCCAGGAAUUGACAUUAUAGACACUACCACUGACUAUCCCCAUAACAAAUUGGCCACAAUUUUGCACAUUGACCAUACGCGGUCCUGCCAUACACUAGGUUUUGACCUAGUCGUGUUUUAAAUGACCUGGUGGUAUGAACCUGGGUGAUUUAUGCAAACAGUCCGUGUCAACCAUCCAACAUGGAAAUAUUCAUUCAGCCUUGCGACUGUAUUCUUGUCAAAAGCAUUGCGUCCAGUAUGAGCCAAGUUCUCUAAGUAACUCUGAUUUUAGAUAUUAUACAAACUGAGGUAGGAGCGAGACGAUGGAAGAAAACCUAACCAGUGUAGAAGCAGUGAGAGUCAUGAGCUGUUAAACUCUGUGGACAGAGUGGCUUUGCACGAUGGCAAGAUUGUGUUGUGUGGUGAGGCAGCAGUGAACUUUGUAUAGGCUCUGUAUAGGGAAGGAGCUCAUCCUCAUCCGUACCAGAUACUCGUUUCAUUUGAGCAUUCGGCUCUACCCUAGUUAUUUAUAAGGUGAAUUACUUGCAAAUGCUGAAAGCUGAACUUCAUCAGAUUUGAGAGGGGAUUUAAAAGGAUUCAGAUUGGAUAAAAUGCUAUUGAACCCUAACCCUAAAGCCUGUUCUUCAAGAAACAACUCCGACACAUAAUUCCCAGUAAAACCCACAAAUUGUAUUUGUUUUUUAAAAAACUGUCUGCCCUUGCCUGCAGUUGUUCUGCUAAGCUAGGCUAAACAAGCUGGUUAAGAGAAUGCCAAGAAUGUGCAAAGCUGGCAUCAAAGCACAAGGUGGCUACUUUGAGGAAUCUGAAAUCUGAAACAUAUUUUGGUUUGUUUAACACUUUUUUGUUUGUGACUGAAUUCCAUUUGUGUUAUGUCAUAGUUUUGAUGUCUUCAGUGUUGCUCUACAGUGUAGAAACUAGUAAAAAUAAAGAAAAACCCUUGAAUGGAUAGGUGUGUCCAAACUUUUGACUGGUACUUUAUUUCUUUACAAAAGAAUAUCUACAUGUGCUGUAUGAGCAGUGUUAAUCAUAGCACCAUACACUUCAAUGUACUGUAAUUUAUUACACAUAGUAUUAGACCAAAUCACAUAAUGUUGCUGCUGGAUGAAAACGUUGUUAGCUUCUCAAGAACUCAAGAAAACAGCCAGCUUCAUUUCCUCUCCAGUAGUUGAAUGAUUUUCAUACAUCUGGGGGUCAUUUAAUACACUGCAUCUAUCUUUAAGGCAUUCCACAUGACAACAGCGAUAAGAUACAUCUACAUGAAUCAGAUAUCUUUGAUCAGUAACUGAAAUAUUGUUAAAAGCAAUAGGAGCCGACAGAAGCUUGUCACAGCUUAGCAUAAUUUGACUCAGGCUUUUAACGUCUGCAUCCGCUGUCAGGUUUUAUAGCAGGACACGCUGGCGGCCUCUCCCCUCCGCUGCCUGCCCACUGAGUUAUGAGUCAGCCAUCAGAGAAUACUCCUCUGCUCAGAGAUUUAUACAUGCCUACAAGCCAUCAGGCCUGCAUUAUUACUGGCUAAUCAAUGGACUCUGUGGUAAUGGUGCUGCUCUUAGAGCUGCGAGUGUGGCCUGUAGCCUCACUUUAUGAUGCAAUGCUUGCAGCUGAUGGAUGGGUAUUAGAUGGUGUUUUCAUGAUUUCAAACCAGCCGUCAGAUUCUUUAAGAUACUCACCAAGUUUAAAAAAAAUCUUAAAGGCACAGUUUUUUGAAAACUAAAUACACUCAAUUUUAUAAAUGAAAAAAUUAGAUAUUGUUAUUGUGCUUAAUUAUUGCUUUUCAAUAAACCAUAUUCAUCCAAACAUGAUACCAAAUGAAGCUAUGUUUUAGUUCAUUUCUUCUCUCUUUCUAUUUGCCAGUAAUCUCAUGCUCUAAACAUGGCUCUAAACAAUACAAUACCCAUAAUCCUUGGCCACUGUUGCUAUGGAGAAGAAGCUAGUCAGAAUAGCAAAUCAGAGCGCUAAUGAAUUCAAACCGCUUUGUUGUUGCAGUUGUAAGCAAAACAUGAGCAAUCUGCUGAAUUCACUCAAAAGUGACCCAGAAAUUACAAGUUAAUUCAAUUUUCUCAACACCAAAACCAGAUUUUCGAGCUUGGUGAUUGGAUGUUUCUUGUCGAAAUGCACAUUGGGAUUUGUAGUUAACUUUUACAAACUUGCUACAAACUUUUCAGAGCCACAUCUCAGCCUACAGGGAGUGAGAAUUUGACUCUGAAACAUGUGGAGUAUUCCUGUAACUCCCCUAAAAAGCCAGCAUCCUUGUCCCAUUUCCAUCUCUUUUCACCUCAGCUACCACUUUCCUAUUUUUAACACUUCCAUGGACACCCCCUACCACCCCCACUCCAUACUCACUCAUAUCUCUCUCUUGUGAAUGGAUGCGCCCCCUUUUCUUAUUUUCUUUCUUCCUCCUCCCUUGCUCCAUCCCUCACUUACUUUAUCUGGGUGUCACUGUGUCAGAAUGUAUUUGGGGCUAAAUUAUUCAUUAGAGAACUGGAGGGCAAUCAAAGAGACUGGUACAACGGCAGGGCCAGUGUGUGUGUGUGUGUGUGUGUGUGUGCACAUGCUCGACGGUAGAUGCAUGCAUGCGUGAUUCUAUGUGUGUGUGUGUGUGUUUUAGAGCUGGUACAGGAGGGAGUAUAGCAGGCUGGAAGAAAGAGAUUACAUAGAAACCCGGGGGGAGCCGAACACAGAGCCCUGUAGCUCUCCUUACAGUCCAGAGAAUGCUAAUAUAAUAGCAGUGAAGUGUAUGUAUGUGUGUGUGUAUGGGAGAACAGAAGAGGGUGUAUGCUUGCUAGAUAAUGCUUCCCCCUGAUAUAAUCAAUGAUGCUGGUGUUGAAACAUGGACUAUCUGCUGUUACCUUCACUCACCUUUCUGCCCAAAGCUAUUUGACUUCAUUUAUGUCAGGAAACGUCUUCAGCACCAAGUUCAAUCUUUCUCUGUCAUGUUUUUAUGUGCGUGUGCAUGUGUUGCUUUCACUCCCUGCCACCACCCCCUUUCUCCAAUUAACAGGUCUGUUCCGCAAAGCUGAGAGGACACAGCGAGUCCCAACUGCCAUGAUGAAUUCAAAACUCUGGGCAACUAUCACGGCUUGAGGCUGAAGCCAAUGGUGAAGUACCUUAAAGUGCAAUGUCACCGACGGCCACUAUGCUCCAACUGAAGCAAAGUCCUGCAGAGAGUCAUCAAAGCUGUUCAUUGCAUCACCAGGUCUGAACUGCCAUCCAUGUAGGACUUCUACAUCCAGAGGAGCACAAGGAAAGCUGGGAAAAUCAUAAAGGACGCCAGCCACCACAGGUAAUGGUUGCAGAGCUGACUCAAGUUUACCACACUGAAGCACAACCUGAGCUGCGAUAUUAGAGACUGUGCACAGACACUCUCCCAAAAAAUGUUGCUGGACUCUAAGGUUGCCAAAGAAUCUCUUUCAGAGAACAAAGGCGGAGUCCUUGGUGAAGGAUGUUCUAGCACCAAAGGCCAUGAAAGAUGCGGUCAGGAUGUUGAAGAAAGAUGAAACACCUCUACCUUUCUCCAUACACAUGGAUCCCUCCAACAAAAGCAACAGAAAGAUGUUCCCUAUGAUGAUCCAAUUCUUCACACCAGAAUGUGGUGAGGUGAAUAAAAUGAUUGACUUCAUCGAACAUCCAGAUGAAUCAGCAGAGUGGAUUGUAGGGUGCCCUGAAAGUGUACAGCUUCUUCUCCAUAUCAGCGAAAAGAUGAGAGGCUUUGAAGGAGUUUUGUGAGUUCUUUGACAUUGAGUUCGGAGAAGUCCUGCAGCAUGUCACUACCAGAUGGCUUUCUCUCAACCCUGCCAUCUCAAGACUCCUGCAAAGCUGGUCAGCCGUGAAGUCCUACUUCAUCAGCCUUGGCGAUGAGUGUCCCAAACAAAUCAGGACUUUGUUGAAGCUCGUCACUGAGGAUGAUGGCGAUGUUGUGGACAUUUACCUCCUCUUCUGCAUUAACAUUCUCUCCCUCUUUGAAGAGGUUGUCAAGAAGCUUGAGGCCAGUGCUACUACAUGUGUAGAGCUGUAUCCCAUCAUGCAUUCCAUCAGUGCUAAACUAAAACAGAGGUGAGAUAACCAGUUCUACGGUUAUCUAACAAAAACGAAGCUGCAAAGUCUCCCUCCAGAUGAUGCAGGCAAGGCAAAGCAAGGGUUCACAGCGUUCAUCGACACAGCCCUAAGGAACAUCGAAAAAUGGUUCACUUCUCUGAAAGUAAUUGGCUUCACUGUCUUCUGUUCCUCUCUCUCCCUGUCAACCUCACCUUUAAUGACCUGGAGAAGAUUUGUGCGAAGCUUCACCUCACAGCCAGAGUGAACAUGGAUGACCUCUAUGAUGAGUGCACCAUGCUGAAUAUUGUUGUGGAGAAGCUCCAGGAAUGGAACAAAGAUGUGGCAGCCGAGUGGAUGGCUGUAUGUCAGGCAGCUGAUCUGCCAAAUAUGCUCUCUAUCAUCUCCUGCAUUCUGAGCACACCAGCCUCAACAGGGUUUGUGGAGAGAAUCCUCUCCAGGAUGAACAGCAAAUGGAGUGAGGUCCAGAACCGGUGCUCUGUGGAGUUCAUGGAGAGUGAGCUACUUGUCUCUGUGAACUUUGACCUGUACUGUGACGAGUUCCACACUGGUUUUGAAGGACAAGGCAUUGCUUGAGGCAGCAAGGAGCAACAAAAAGUACACGUGGAAGAAAAAGUAGAGAGGGUGGUGGUGGGUUGGGUAGAGGGGAGAAUUCACAUUCACAAAGGUCACAUUACCUAGAUAAAUUAGUAAUUAUUCGUUUCUCUACAUUUCCCUCAUUCUGGAAUAGGCUGAUAUUUAUUUCAAUGCCUACAUCCAGGAGGAUUGUUCUGAUCAGUUUGACAGUAAACAUUUUCAAUUUAUUUUCACAAAUAAAUGUAUUGUUAAUUUAUUUUCACAAAUGAAUGUGUUGUUCAGUCAUUCACAAUAGUGGUCUCUGUGGUCUACCUGGUCUUUUGCUAUUUCCAAAUUUAUCAAUGGGUUCUUGCUUCUUCCAAAUAUACCAAAUAGUUUAUUUUGACAGACCAAACAUUUUGCCCACGUCUAUGAUCUGAUGUUUUAAUCCUUAAUAUAAAAGAUGAAACUGUGCUUUACCUUUAUUGACU
This is a long non-coding RNA of Thunnus maccoyii (southern bluefin tuna), 5102 nucleotides long. RefSeq lists it as uncharacterized. NCBI's taxonomy places the organism in Eukaryota, Metazoa, Chordata, Actinopteri, Scombriformes, Scombridae. The transcript has 3 exons. The record is from RefSeq and is a predicted model, not a curated record.